GUUGGGUAGGGGAGCGUUCUGUAAGCCUGCGAAGGUGUACUGUGAGGUAUGCUGGAGGUAUCAGAAGUGCGAAUGCUGACAUAAGUAACGAUAAUGCGGGUGAAAAACCCGCACGCCGGAAGACCAAGGGUUCCUGUCCAACGUUAAUCGGGGCAGGGUGAGUCGACCCCUAAGGCGAGGCUGAAAAGCGUAGUCGAUGGGAAACGGGUUAAUAUUCCCGUACUGGUGGUAACUGCGAUGGGGGAACGGAGAAGGCUAGGUUGUCCGGGCGACGGUCGUCCCGGUUCAAGCAGGUAGGCAGAGUGAUUAGGCAAAUCCGGUCACUUAAUGCUGAGAUGUGAUGACGAACCACCAAGGUGGUGAAGCAAUUGAUGCCCCGCUUCCAGGAAAAGCCUCUAAGCUUCAGGUUACCAACAAUCGUACCCCAAACCGACACAGGUGGUCAGGUAGAGAAUACUCAGGCGCUUGAGAGAACUCGGGUGAAGGAACUAGGCAAAAUGGUGCCGUAACUUCGGGAGAAGGCACGCUGGCGGUAGGUAAAGUCCCUCGCGGACGGCGCUGAAGCCAGUCGAAGAUACCAGCUGGCUGCAACUGUUUAUUAAAAACACAGCACUGUGCAAACACGAAAGUGGACGUAUACGGUGUGACGCCUGCCCGGUGCUGGAAGGUUAAUUGAUGGGGU
RNAcentral lists this ribosomal RNA (682 nucleotides) under Proteus mirabilis. RNAcentral describes it as "partial 23S ribosomal RNA". It matches the Rfam family "Bacterial large subunit ribosomal RNA", at positions 1223 to 1890 of the family's 2925-position model. The record is from RNAcentral. Lineage: Bacteria; Pseudomonadati; Pseudomonadota; Gammaproteobacteria; Enterobacterales; Morganellaceae.